UAAGGAAGAACAACAUGACAUAGAAGUAACUUCUUGCAUGGCUGUUCGAAAAGAAAAGAAAAAACUAUAAGCGGUAACUACCGAAAGCAAUUAGUCAAACUCUAUAGGAAGUCUCGCAAAAAAAACUUUUAUAGGAAGAGAAAAGGAACAUUAUACAAUGUAAAAUUGGAUCCGUUGAAGCAGACAUUUCGCAUUUCUGAAACUGGCCUGUCUGUAGCGAACAGUAACAAAUUGGAGGCACACAAUCCAAUGAUAAAGAAUUUCACCUUAUAAUUUUGCAAGGGAAUGCUAAUAAGGGUGUUCUUCCAAUUGUUUAGUCAUAGAACGAACAUACUUGUGAGAAUAAAAGAGAUGGGGAAGCAUCUGGUUUCAGCAAUGAUUGUCUCAUCAGAUAAAAUAAACAUCACAUCUUGUAAUUGUGAACACCGAUGAAGGGUAUCCUCACAAACUCACCACCAUGUGGAGGCCUGUAUGUGAGACUACUGGUAUUUGGAAGUAUCAACUGAGAUGCUCAUCAGAGUGUGCAAUAAGAUGAAGAAAUCAUAUAUAAAUAGAUUGCAUGGGAGAGGACAGUUACAAAUUUGGUAAAUUGUUUCAAUGCAAAAGGUGUGCAGUUCUGAAUGUUAGAUUGUUAGUACUAAAAAGUAGUUUGGCCAUGUACUCCGUGGUAGAAUGCUUGUUCUUCUCAUUCAUGGAACACAGUAGGAACACUGGAAUUAUCAAAGGUAGCUUACAAACAACAAAGAAGAAGAAAAAAAAUACUCCCUCC
This 769-nucleotide long non-coding RNA is filed under the name Brachypodium distachyon (stiff brome). RNAcentral describes it as "long non-coding RNA (BDIS_LNC002714)". Lineage: Eukaryota; Viridiplantae; Streptophyta; Magnoliopsida; Poales; Poaceae. The record is from RNAcentral.